CGGGGUGAGUAAUGUCUGGGAAACUGCCUGAUGGAGGGGGAUAACUGCUGGGAACGGUAGCUAAUACCGCAUAACGUCGCAAGACCAAAGAGGGGGACCUUCGGGCCUCUUGCCAUCGGAUGUGCCCAGAUGGGAUUAGCUAGUAGGUGGGGUAACGGCUCACCUAGGCGACGAUCCCUAGCUGGUCUGAGAGGAUGACCAGCCACACUGGAACUGAGACACGGUCCAG
Molecule: ribosomal RNA, 229 nt
Filed under: uncultured bacterium
Lineage: Bacteria
Description: partial 16S ribosomal RNA
Rfam family: Bacterial small subunit ribosomal RNA
Source: RNAcentral